AUUGAACGCUGGCGGCAGGCCUAACACAUGCAAGUCGAACGGUAACAGGAAGAAGCUUGCUUCUUUGCUGACGAGUGGCGGACGGGUGAGUAAUGUCUGGGAAACUGCCUGAUGGAGGGGGAUAACUACUGGAAACGGUAGCUAAUACCGCAUAACGUCGCAAGACCAAAGAGGGGGACCUUCGGGCCUCUUGCCAUCGGAUGUGCCCAGAUGGGAUUAGCUAGUAGGUGGGGUAACGGCUCACCUAGGCGACGCUCCCUAGCUGGUCUGAGAGGAUGACCAGGCACACUGGAACUGAGACACGGUCCAGACUCCUACGGGAGGCAGCAGUGGGGAAUAUUGCACAAUGGGCGCAAGCCUGAUGCAGCCAUGCCGCGUGUAUGAAGAAGGCCUUCGGGUUGUAAAGUACUUUCAGCGGGGAGAAAGGGAGUAAAGUUAAUACCUUGGCUCAUUGACGUUACCCGCAGAAGAAGCACCGGCUAACUCCGUG
RNAcentral lists this ribosomal RNA (490 nucleotides) under uncultured bacterium. RNAcentral describes it as "partial 16S ribosomal RNA". It matches the Rfam family "Bacterial small subunit ribosomal RNA", at positions 30 to 507 of the family's 1533-position model. The record is from RNAcentral.